Molecule: ribosomal RNA, 492 nt
Filed under: uncultured bacterium
Lineage: Bacteria
Description: partial 16S ribosomal RNA
Rfam family: Bacterial small subunit ribosomal RNA
Source: RNAcentral
AGUGAACGCUGGCGGUAGGCCUAACACAUGCAAGUCGAACGGCAGCACAGUAAGAGCUUGCUCUUACGGGUGGCGAGUGGCGGACGGGUGUGGAAUACAUCGGAAUCUACUUUUUCGUGGGGGAUAACGUAGGGAAACUUACGCUAAUACCGCAUACGACCUACGGGUGAAAGCAGGGGAUCUUCGGACCUUGCGCGAUUGAAUGAGCCGAUGUCGGAUUAGCUAGUUGGCGGGGUAAAGGCCCACCAAGGCGACGAUCCGUAGCUGGUCUGAGAGGAUGAUCAGCCACACUGGAACUGAGACACGGUCCAGACUCCUACGGGAGGCAGCAGUGGGGAAUAUUGGACAAAGGGCGCAAGCCUGAUCCAGCCAUACCGCGUGGGUGAAGAAGGCCUUCGGGUUGUAAAGCCCUUUUGUUGGGAAAGAAAAGCAGCAGGUUAAUACCCCGCUGUUCUGACGGUACCCAAAGAAUAAGCACCGGCUAACUUCGUG